GCCUGGUGUCUCAUUCACCAGAAAUCGUUCUCACUGUGGACUCUUGACUCAAAUGUAAUCCAGGAAUGGAACGUGCUGUUGCUGGAUGCCACACGCAGCAUCGGGAGCUGAGUUGGGGGUUAUAUGAUCUUACCCCACACCUUAGAAGUGAAGAUUAUCGUUGUCAGGCCUCUGAGCCCAAGCCAAGCCAUCGCAUCCCCUGUGACUUGCAUGUAUAUGCCCAGAUGGCUUGAAGUAACUGAAGAAUUACAAAAGAAGUGCAAAUGCCCUGCCUGGACUUAACUGAUGACAUUCCACCACAAAAGAAGUGAAAAUGGCUGGUCCUUGCCUUAAGCAAUGAUAUUAUUUUGUGAAAUUCCUUUUCGUGGCUCACCCUGCCUCAAAAAGCUCCCCCACUGAGCACCUUGUGACCCCCACUGCUGCCCGCCAGAGAAAAACCCCCCCUUUGACUAAUUUUCCUUUACUUAUCCAAAUCCUGUAAAACGGCCCCACCCUUACCUCCCUUCGCUGACUCUUUUGGGACUCAGCCCGCCUGCACCCAGGUGAAAUAAACAGCCGUGUUGCUCACACAAAGCCUGUUUGGUGGUCUCUUCACACGGGCUCGCAUGACAAUAGUUAAGGAGAUACUGAAGUCUUUGCCAGCUCCAAGAGCUUUUUCAGUUUGUGUCGGGCCAUUUUAGGCAGAAGGAAAAGCUUGCUUAGAGAAUCUUACAGAAAUGUUUGGUGCAGCGCCAUUCAUGGAAUAAAUGUGUAACUUUCUGUGGCGGCCCUCUGGAAGGAGAUGCACUUUGAGUGCACCCUGGCCUGCUCGCUACAAGAAUCGGCCCGUGUCACCCCGCUUUCCGUGGGUCUGCAGGUGGCCGUGGAAGGGAAGAUGAUCAGGAAUGCUGGUGACAGUUACCGGUGCGUGUUGAUGUGUGCUGCUUUCUGCAGAUUUCUUGGCAUCUUCUCCCUUAUCCAGAAGUGAGGGUGAACGCCGAGUUAUUCACAGGAGUCAAGAGACCACACAGAGCCCAAAGUGGCAUUUGUUUCCCUGAAAUGAUUUGUGUGUGUUCACCUUAAAAUGCAACUCAGUAAAACAGGUAUGUUUUGAGGAAUGACUUUAAAUUACCCAGGUAAAAAUGUGACAGUUCAAUUUCAUCCAGUCUGUGCAGGUGUCCAUAAUCCCUUCUGUGGUUGCGUGUGAGUUUAUGUGACUUGUGGUUAUUUUUGAAGAAAGAAAAUCUGUUGUUGCUGAGGACUUCAGAUGGUGCGCUGGGAUUGUGUGGGCGGACAUCGGGGCUUCA
RNAcentral lists this long non-coding RNA (1286 nucleotides) under Macaca fascicularis (crab-eating macaque). RNAcentral's name for it is "lncRNA (ENSMFAG00000064043.1)". Lineage: Eukaryota; Metazoa; Chordata; Mammalia; Primates; Cercopithecidae. The record is from RNAcentral.